CUACGUAUAAGAGGUCCCGCCUGCCCUGUGACUAUAUGUUCAACGGCCGCGGUAUUUUGACCGUGCAAAGGUAGCGCAAUCACUUGUCUUUUAAAUAAAGACCUGUAUGAAUGGCAUAACGAGGGCUUAACUGUCUCCUUUCCCUGGUCAAUGAAAUUGAUUUCCCCGUGCAGAAGCGGGGAUGUUAAUAUAAGACGAGAAGACCCUGUGGAGCUUAAGAUAAUAGAGGGAUUUUAUGUAGUAAACCAAAAGAGGAUACAAACAAGUUCACACUCCCUCCAAUGUCUUCGGUUGGGGCGACCGCGGAGUAAAAAACAACCUCCAUGAGGACUAGGGUGUAACCUUAAAUCCCAGAACGACAGUUCAAAGAAACAAAAUUUUUGACCUAAGGAUCCGGCAUGGCCGAUCAACGAACCGAGUUACCCCAGGGAUAACAGCGCAAUCCCCUUCAAGAGUCCCUAUCGACAAGGGGGUUUACGACCUCGAUGUUGGAUCAGGGUAUCCUAAUGGUGUAGCCGCUAUUAAGGGUUCGUUUGUUCAACGAUUAAAACCCU
Molecule: ribosomal RNA, 554 nt
Filed under: Syngnathus acus (greater pipefish)
Lineage: Eukaryota; Metazoa; Chordata; Actinopteri; Syngnathiformes; Syngnathidae
Description: partial 16S ribosomal RNA
Rfam family: Bacterial large subunit ribosomal RNA
Source: RNAcentral